AUGAACGCUGGCGGCGUGCCUAACACAUGCAAGUCGAGCGGGAAUCGCUGAUUGAGAUUCGGUGAUGAAGCGAUGGAUAGCGGCGGACGGGUGAGUAACGCGUAGGUAAUCUGCCUUCAGCACAGGGAUAGCCUAGGGAAACCUGGAUUAAUACCUGAUAACGCAUUGAAGUCACAUGGCUUUGAUGCCAAAGAUUUAUCGGCUGGAGAUGAACCUGCGUCUGAUUAGAUAGUUGGUGAGGUAACGGCCCACCAAGUCAACGAUCAGUAGCCGACCUGAGAGGGUGAUCGGCCACAUUGGAACUGAGACACGGUCCAAACUCCUACGGGAGGCAGCAGUGGGGAGUAUUGCACAAUGGGCGCAAGCCUGAUGCAAGCAACGCCGCGUGAGCGAUGAAGGUCUUCGGAUCGUAAAGCUCUGUCCUCUGGGAAGAAGAAGUGACGGUACCAGAGGAGGAAGCCCCGGCUAACUACGUGCCAGCAGCCGC
RNAcentral lists this ribosomal RNA (487 nucleotides) under uncultured bacterium. Its description in RNAcentral is "bacterial SSU rRNA". It matches the Rfam family "Bacterial small subunit ribosomal RNA", at positions 29 to 518 of the family's 1533-position model. The record is from RNAcentral.